CGGCGCGAGAGAGGAGAAUGGGCGUGACCGCGGGACGGAGGGAAAAGACCGGACGGGAAAUGUUUUCGCUUUGUGGUGUGGUGCGUAGUAGUGAGGCGGGCGUAGGUCAAAGUAAAAGACAGACAUGGCUAUUGCACCAUAUAUUAUGUAAACAAGAAAAAGACAUCCCCUCCAUCAUUAGACAAAAUCCAGACAAUGUAAAUUGAGACUCAAGGCCGGUGGAUGUUCCCAGGCAAGCUAAUCUACAAUAUACUUCAAAGCAUCUGAAAGUGAAAGCGUUUCGAAUUCAUACUCCUCUGAUCCCCCUCUCGACUUUUAUGACAACCGAGAGUUUGACACUGAUGAAUGUAUCAGUAAUCCAGAUUAGCUGUCAAGAAAUCGGAUGGUCCUGACGAAAUCCAGACCCCUCCCUUCUAUGACCAGAAGUCUGACUGGAGUAAUUGUAUUACUAGGUUAAUUCUAAACCUUGUUUUGGAAAAGAUCAAAAUCCAAAAGUUCCUGACCUUCCUACACAUCCACCAGCAGUGAUAAUACGUUGCUACCUCAUUGCACGAUCGCCAGCAGAAUGAUCAAAAAUGAGGUAUUUGCGUGCGCCGGAGGAAACCAUGAUUGGCCAACGAAAAAGGUAAGUACAGAUGGUUUAGAAAUUUGGGUUGGGUACCAUUUGUCCCAUGUUUUAAAGGAGUUAACAAGGAAAAUGUUUUCGGUA
This is a long non-coding RNA of Gekko japonicus, 709 nucleotides long. RefSeq lists it as uncharacterized. The transcript has 5 exons. Lineage: Eukaryota; Metazoa; Chordata; Lepidosauria; Squamata; Gekkonidae. The record is from RefSeq and is a predicted model, not a curated record.